AGAGUUUGAUCCUGGCUCAGGACGAACGCUGGCGGCGUGCUUAAUACAUGCAAGUCGAGCGAGGUUACUGUUUUGGAUCCCUUCGGGGUGAAGAAGCUUUAACCUAGCGGCGGACGGGUGAGUAACGCGUGAGCAACCUGCCUUGCACAGGGGGAUAACAACCGGAAACGGUUGCUAAUACCGCAUGAGACCACACUAUCGCAUGAUAGAGAGGUCAAAGGGAAUAACCGGUGCAAGAUGGGCUCGCGUCCCAUUAGCUAGUUGGUGGGGUAACGGCCUACCAAGGCGACGAUGGGUAGCCGACCUGAGAGGGUGAUCGGCCACACUGGGACUGAGACACGGCCCAGACUCCUACGGGAGGCAGCAGUGGGGAAUAUUGGGCAAUGGGCGAAAGCCUGACCCAGCGACGCCGCGUGAGGGAAGAAGGCCUUCGGGUCGUAAACCUCUGUCAUCGGGGACGAAGGAAGUGACGGUACCCGAGGAGGAAGCCCCUGCUAACUACGUGCCAGCAGCCGCGGUAAU
Molecule: ribosomal RNA, 522 nt
Filed under: uncultured bacterium
Lineage: Bacteria
Description: bacterial SSU rRNA
Rfam family: Bacterial small subunit ribosomal RNA
Source: RNAcentral